Long non-coding RNA from Carassius carassius (crucian carp), 247 nucleotides. RefSeq lists it as uncharacterized. Lineage: Eukaryota; Metazoa; Chordata; Actinopteri; Cypriniformes; Cyprinidae. The record is from RefSeq and is a predicted model, not a curated record. The transcript has 3 exons.
GUCAAGCACUACCACAGUUAGACCUCAGGAGUCAAGUCACCAGUGUUCUUCAUGGGCAAGGUCAAGUCACCAGUGUUCUUCAAGGGCAAAGUCAAGUCACCAAUGAUCUUCAUGAGCAAACCGAAUUUACUGAGCGCUCGACCUAUCCUGUCAUGGCCAUGAAGGCCAUCUACCAUCUCCUCAGGGCCACAGAGGCCACCCUUAACCUGUUCAUGUUCUCUAUUUCAGGCUUACCUAACCAGACUUG